This 447-nucleotide ribosomal RNA is filed under the name uncultured cyanobacterium. RNAcentral describes it as "bacterial SSU rRNA". It matches the Rfam family "Bacterial small subunit ribosomal RNA", at positions 1065 to 1533 of the family's 1533-position model. The record is from RNAcentral. Lineage: Bacteria; Bacillati; Cyanobacteriota.
GCGNGAGAGUUGGGUUAAGUCCCGCAACGAGCGCAACCCUCGUCUUUAGUUGCCAGCAUUAAGUUGGGCACUCUGGAGAGACUGCCGGUGACAAACCGGAGGAAGGUGGGGAUGACGUCAAGUCAGCAUGCCCCUUACGUCUUGGGCUACACACGUACUACAAUGCUUCGGACAAAGGGUUGCAAGCGUGCGAACGCAAGCUAAUCCCAUAAACCGAGGCUCAGUUCAGAUUGCAGGCUGCAACUCGCCUGCAUGAAGGCGGAAUCGCUAGUAAUCGCAGGUCAGCAUACUGCGGUGAAUACGUUCCCGGGCCUUGUACACACCGCCCGUCACACCAUGGGAGUUGGCCACGCCCGAAGUCGUUACUCCAACCGUUCGCGGAGGAGGAUGCCGAAGGCAGGGCUGAUGACUGGGGUGAAGUCGUAACAAGGUAACCAAGCCGAAUUC